UGGAGGGUUGCGGACAGGAGGAGAGACAAUGUUAAAGAUGAAUGCGGAAGAAAAGAGCCAAAGAAUCCACCAGAGAGUGAAAUCUGCCUGCGUCUGCGUACAAUUCUGCUACUCUCGGGUUCCAGAAUGAGGAAAACCUGGUUGCCACAUGUUCAGUUUGCCUAUAAUACAUAGGCCCUAAAUGCCAAGUUUACUGUGUGUCUGGCAGUUGAUAGUGACAAAAGACCAACACAUGAUUCUUGGGCUGUCUAAUUAUCAGCUGACUAGGAAAGGAACAGAUCUCUUUUUUGAAAUUAUGGACAUCUGGCUGGCCUUUGUAUUUCCUGAAGAUGCUAUGAUGAUUGCCAUGGAGGAAAAAUCAUGAACUGUCUUUCCCACCUGUGAACCCUGUAACCUACAAAAACAACUGGCCUGGCAAA
This 419-nucleotide long non-coding RNA is filed under the name Cricetulus griseus (Chinese hamster). Its description in RNAcentral is "lncRNA (ENSCGRG00015033816.1)". The record is from RNAcentral. Lineage: Eukaryota; Metazoa; Chordata; Mammalia; Rodentia; Cricetidae.